This 316-nucleotide signal recognition particle RNA is filed under the name Candidatus Mnemosynella sp. RNAcentral describes it as "signal recognition particle sRNA". It matches the Rfam family "Archaeal signal recognition particle RNA". Lineage: Archaea; Methanobacteriati; Methanobacteriota; Archaeoglobi; Candidatus Mnemosynellales; Candidatus Mnemosynellaceae. The record is from RNAcentral.
UGGUGGGCUAGCCCGGGUGGUUCGGCGUCACCUGUGACCCGAAAUCGCCGAGAUGCGGGGGGCGAAGUCCGAGGGCGUCAGAGAGGCAGCGGAGAAGUCCCCGGUGGAACGUUGAAUUCCCGUCCCUCUUGGCCGGUGUGUGAUGGAGGGGCUGUCUGGAGAGGCGGUUCCUCCAUCUUAACUGCGCGAACCGGUUCAGGCCCGGAAGGGAGCAGACCAAAGCGCAGGCAACCGGCGCUUGAGGGGUCGCGGGAAGGAGAACCAUCGGGGGGAGCUUCUCUGCUGUUUUCUCUGGCCACCGAGGACGCGCCCACCA